Molecule: unclassified non-coding RNA, 1468 nt
Filed under: Hevea brasiliensis (rubber tree)
Lineage: Eukaryota; Viridiplantae; Streptophyta; Magnoliopsida; Malpighiales; Euphorbiaceae
Source: RNAcentral
GCUUUUUCUUCUUCUCUUGUUUAAAACGAACAAGACUAAAGAGGCUGGCACAUUGUUUUCAUCGGAACUUUUACAAUAAAUACGCUCUACUCUAACUCUGCACCCUCUACUGAUCCAUUUACACACCUGGCAACUUUACUCCGUUCAAUGGCUACUCUCACCUUCAAUUCCGUCGCCGCCACCUCCAAAAUCCGAUCCUCCGUCGCCGCCGCAAACUCCUCCGUCCGUCGCCAGCUGUCACAUGUCCGCCUUCCGUCUUCUCCUAUUCAGCCAUCAUCUGUCUUGCAGUGCCGCUGGUCUUCUUCCGCCUCUUCAGGUGUGAGAGCUCAGGUGACAACCACUGAACAAGUUGGAGUUAAGGCUGCUGCAAAAGUUGAAGCUCCGGUUGUUAUUGUCACUGGAGCUUCUAGAGGAAUAGGGAAGGCAAUUGCGUUGGCUUUGGGAAAGGCUGGUUGUAAGGUCCUUGUGAACUAUGCCAGAUCUUCAAAGGAGGCAGAAGAAGUUUCCAAAGAGAUUGAAGCAUGUGGUGGCGAAGCCUUGGCUUUUGGAGGCGACGUUUCAAAAGAAGAAGAUGUAGAGUCCAUGAUGAAAACUGUGGUUGAUCGAUGGGGAACAGUUGAUAUCUUGAUCAAUAAUGCAGGUAUCACGCGUGAUACCUUGUUGAUGAGAAUGAAGAAGUCUCAGUGGCAGGAGGUUAUUGAUUUGAAUCUUACAGGAGUUUUUCUCUCCACACAGGCUGCAGCUAAAAUCAUGAUGAAAAAGAAAAAGGGAAGAAUCAUCAACAUAUCUUCUGUUGUUGGUUUAGUUGGCAAUGCCGGGCAAGCCAACUAUAGUGCUGCUAAAGCAGGAGUCAUUGGCUUAACCAAGAGUGUUGCAAAAGAAUAUGCCAGCAGGAAUAUUACUGUUAAUGCUAUUGCCCCUGGAUUUAUUGCAUCAGAUAUGACUGCCCAGCUAAGUGAAGACAUUGAAAAGAAACUUUUACAAAGUAUUCCGUUAGGACGCUAUGGUCAACCUGAAGAUGUUGCUGGACUAGUGGAAUUCCUAGCACUCAGUCCCGCAGCCAGCUAUAUUACUGGACAGGUUUUGACUAUCGAUGGUGGGAUGGUAAUGUAGAAGUUUACCCCAUAGUUUGCUCAUGAAGAAAGAUUGGAAGUGUGAUCACUUAUAUUAUACCUUGACUGUAGCCUUGCUUCGUCCAAUAUCUGCGUAAAAGGAACUUGAUAAUUUGGUGGUAGAAGAUGACCUUACUCAUCAUUUUUCUGCAUUUUCCCCUCUUCUUUUUCCGUUUUCUUAGAAGCAUUUUUGAACCAGGGUUUGAUCAUUUUGUUGUGGUUUCUAUGUUAAAGCUGAGUAAACACUAUUUGACGCACUUCCUUUGGUCAAAGCAUCCUCAUGUACUGCCAUGAAAGCUUGCUGCUCUUGGCUUAACCUCUGAGAACGGGAGAUUGAUUAAUCAAUGGCAUAAUUU